Molecule: ribosomal RNA, 406 nt
Filed under: uncultured bacterium
Lineage: Bacteria
Description: partial 16S ribosomal RNA
Rfam family: Bacterial small subunit ribosomal RNA
Source: RNAcentral
AUUGAACGCUGGCGGCAGGCCUAACACAUGCAAGUCGAACGAGUGGCGGACGGGUGAGCAAUGUCUGGGAAACUGCCCGAUGGAGGGGGAUUACUACUGGGAACGGUAGCUAAUAACGCAUACCAUCGGAUGUGCCCAGAUGGGAUUAGCUAGUAGGCGGGGUAACGGCGCACCUAGGCGACGAUCCCUAGCUGGCCUGAGAGUAUGACCAGCCACACUGGGACUGAGACACGGUCCAGACUCCUACGGGAGGCAGCAGUGGGGAAUCUUGCACAAUGGGCGCAAGCCUGAUGCAGCCAUGCCGCGUGUAUGAAGAAGGCCUUCGGGUUGUAAAGUACUUUCAGCGGGGAGGCGUUACUCGCAGAGGAAGCACCGGCUAACUCCGUGCCAGCAGCCGCGGUAAUUC